UGCAACCUCAUGGUUACUAGUCAGGUUUGUUUCCACUGCACCACAACAGGAACUCCUGGAGAUCUGACUCGUAUAGAGUCUGAAGAGGGGCUGAAGCCACCAUACAUCUCAGAGGCUGAGAUGGAGCACACCAGCUGCCGCCCCUUGACACAAGCAAGAAGGGAAAUUUACCAGUGAAUAAGAUCUAAUAGGAUUGGAUUGUGAGAAGUGAAGAAUCGAAAUGCCACUGGCUUCAACAAGCAUGCUUUGCAUCUCCUGCUCAUGUGGAAGAAAUUGGGAAGCAGUCAGCGCAAAGUGAAUGUAGGUCUCCAGGGCAUCAGGAACUCCGGCUGGUUCUCUGCUGUUGCUCUACCACGCUCAGCAGGUCAUACCUGCCUCAUGGCCUAAGAUGGCUGUUGAACUUCAGCUGCCAUGACGACACCGCAACUAACAGGAAGGAGGAAAGGGAGAAACGUGGCAUAUCUCCUCCCUUUAAGGAUUCUUCCUGAAAGAGGCACACAACCCUUCUGCUUACAUCCAGAAUGUGGUCUCAUGGCCAUAUAUAGCUGGAAGGGAGACUAAGACAUGUUUAUCCCAGGUGGCCAGAUGCCCACUAAAGACAGAGAGGGAAGAUGCUGUCACAUGGAGACAGAGAAAUGGACAAAGGAGCCUCUGUCAUAGAGAGCCAAGGAUUAGGAGUCUAGAGCCCAGCUGAAAGGACUCAGGAAGCUGCCGUGAAGGCUUCCUCAGGUGAUUUCUGGGGAAGCUCACAGGCUAGAUUCUCGCUUUUCAAGGUGUAGUCCUUGGGCCAGAGCAGCAUCAGCAUCACCUGGCAGCGUGUUCCAAAUGUAAAUUCAGGCCCAACGGAAUCAGAAUCUGCAUUUUAACAAGCUGGGGAGCUAGAAGAUCUCAGAGAAAGGCCAGAAAUUGGGGAGAUGUGUAGCACAAGACAGGAAUUAGAGGCGAGAGUAUUCUAGGUAGAGUGGUGGCGGGGCUCCUGUGAGUCUGCGACCCCCUUAUGCAAGUGAACUCAGAGGCAGGUCAGAGAACUGAGGGUCCAGACUUGACUUAGGGACGUGAGUGGAAGAGACUGCCAGCACAGGAUAAUGAGGAAGGAGAAGAGAAGAGAUGCGUGAGAAACUUGGAAAGAACGUGACCUUGAAAACAUGCUCUAAGAGAAUUAACGGUGAAAUACAGAUUUAAUUUCUGCGUAUUGUGGGCCAGGCACCUCCUAAUCCUCACAACACCACUGAGUGGUGCGGCUUAGGUCACAACUGAAGCUCGGAUCUGAUCCCUGGCCAGGGACAUCUGGUUAUGAACAGAAGAUUUGUGAUCCCGGCAUCUCCCCUGCCAGGUCAAUUCCAUGGCCCUCAACAAUCCUCAAAGUCCUUAAAAGCCCACUUGAGGUGGCCUGGAAUGAAGAAGGGCGCUAGGAGUGGAACAGAGCAGUGCAGUCCUACCAGCAGCUCAGCGACAACUUUCUUGGGCUUCGGAGGACCUUGUGUCCUUCGUGCCUCACUGUCCCUCUGCAGCUCACACCUCCUGUAGCACCCUCUCACAUGCCCCCCAGAGUCCCUGGGCUGCCUUCCAGCAAUCCUUAGCCUCCCAUCCCUCCUUACUUCUACCUCCUUUGGACAUUUUAGCCAGUGUUUGAACCACACUCACUUAUUGCAAAUUACCAUUUCCUUGAGAGAAUUUCCUACAUGAAGAACAAAACUCUGGCUAAACCAUUAAAGUCCUUAACCAUACCAAUACAUGCUCCAUCACCUGUGGGCAGAAAGCCUCCAGACUUGAAGCUACUUCUCCACUUCUUCCUCCUCUGAUCAUUUCCUGAUCUGAGGGAACCUAUUCUAUAACCAGUGGUCAGUGGGCUCAGAACUGUGCCUAUACACAGAGAAGCAGCAGCAGCCGGGCCUCAGCUUGGCAGUGUAAAGUAAAGCCAAUUUCAGCUGGAUAGACUUUGAUAGUUCUUUGGAUUCUCAAAGAUACCUUAUAUUUCUUGAUUCUCUCAGGCUCUAAAUACCAGCUUCUUCAGAAUUAUUCUGCUUGAGGACUAUUUUUUCUGUGCACUGUGUCCCCCAAACAUUUAACUCAAAUUUACAUCCAUAUAAAAUUCAUCAAGGUGUUCCCAUAUGCAGCACACUUUACUGAACCUUUGGGGGGAAAAGAGGUUUAUAUUACAACAUCCAAUCCAUCUUAAAUUCAGUAUCAGUCAUUCUUUAUAAGGCUUUUGACCACAUCCACAUUUCAGGACCCAGCCUUCUGCCAGGAUCCUUAUUUGUCCUCUCUUCCUUUUCCCUGCUAUCUCUCCUCCUCAAUCCCUCCCUCUAGCUUGCCUGACA
Non-coding RNA from Sus scrofa (pig), 2321 nucleotides. The record is from RefSeq and is a predicted model, not a curated record. Lineage: Eukaryota; Metazoa; Chordata; Mammalia; Artiodactyla; Suidae.